AACCGGCUGUAUGUUUGGUUGGUGUUUGCUAACUUUUCAUAUAAUUGCAAAAUAAAACAAUGUUUAACAUGAAUAUUACAUUUUACCUUCAAUAAUUUAACUCUUUUCCCCCACAAAUUUACGGCAAACAACGGUACCGCUACCAAUUUCAUUUAACAGAAAUUGCGGUCGUUUAAAAAAAAAAAAAAAAAAAGUAUUUUAAAUUCGCGGUAAAACGAACAUUGUUUCUUUUCCGUUUUUGCCAUAUUUUCUCGGUCUCAUUCAUGUACAAUUCACCUUCAGAACACACACAAACAAUGGAUCCAGCAGUCACUGAAGUCCAGCUCUUUCGAAGAGAAGAGUUCAGAUAAAUUAUCUUCCACAAAAAAGCCACCCCUCCAGGAGUGGGAUUCCCCCAGAAGAC
This is a long non-coding RNA of Anguilla rostrata (American eel), 403 nucleotides long. RefSeq lists it as uncharacterized. The record is from RefSeq and is a predicted model, not a curated record. Lineage: Eukaryota; Metazoa; Chordata; Actinopteri; Anguilliformes; Anguillidae. The transcript is spliced from 3 exons.